CCCUUAGUGACAGGAGUUUUAGUCAGAUAACUUGGAGCUUUUUGUAUGCUUAUUCUCAAGAAUGCACUUUUUCCCCGAACAGCGCGAGAGGUAGUUCACUUAUAAUGCUACCUCUAUGGCUAACAACCUUCUGUGAAAUUGAAGGUUUAUUUUUUGAUUGAGAAAGUAGCAUAUGGCCCCAAACCGGGGCACCUUGGCCAGACUUGGCCGACGCAACCCACACUUGGCCGUCCGCUCUCGUGCGUAGAAAACGUAAUGUUCUGGAUAUUGCUAGUUGCAUUGGUACGCUCGGAAAGUCUGGAACCACACAUAUCGUUUGUAACCAUGCACAGGUAGGCCAGGUAGGAGCCGUAGCAGGUGACGACCGCGCCCACGCUCGAAGCCCCGCCGUAAAACACGUGUCACAACCCUCAAUGAAAUCUUCUGUGCAGGAUGAUAGCAUAAGCCUAAUGCUGGCCGGCAAGGUCAUUACAUAGUUCUUGUUGCCAAGCGACUCGCAUCCGACCUGGCUGGUUAUCCAGGCCUCGCGUCCUACCUAGCGGACAGGUCGAGAAGGAAACUACUCGGAAGCUCAGCCGGCUCGCUGCUGCUAUAGGUAGACGCAGAGCGCCUUGUGCCGCUGUGCAGCUGCACGCCUGUGUUAGUGUAAGCUAUAUCCUGAAUUGCUGCAUUAAUCGGUGCAGCCCAGCCCCAAAAUCUUCCUAGCUACUGCACUACAAUCAGCAAUUCAGGAGAUUUCAGACCCAAUCAGUCCUUAUCUAGCGGUGCGUAGCCCUCGCGGUGCCUCCGCACGUGCAUGCUCGUAGGGUAAAAGGGAAUUCCUGAAGCAAAACACACACAC
This 841-nucleotide long non-coding RNA is filed under the name Volvox carteri. RNAcentral's name for it is "long non-coding RNA (VCAR_LNC000301)". The record is from RNAcentral. Lineage: Eukaryota; Viridiplantae; Chlorophyta; Chlorophyceae; Chlamydomonadales; Volvocaceae.